This 767-nucleotide ribosomal RNA is filed under the name Darkera picea. Its description in RNAcentral is "eukaryotic LSU rRNA". It matches the Rfam family "Eukaryotic large subunit ribosomal RNA", at positions 76 to 860 of the family's 3401-position model. The record is from RNAcentral. Lineage: Eukaryota; Fungi; Ascomycota; Leotiomycetes; Phacidiales; Phacidiaceae.
UGCCUCAGUAACGGCGAGUGAAGCGGCAACAGCUCAAAUUUGAAAUCUGGCCCCCUCGGGGCCCGAGUUGUAAUUUGUAGAGGAUGUUUCGGGUGUGGCUCCGGUCUAAGUUCCUUGGAACAGGACGUCAUAGAGGGUGAGAAUCCCGUAUGUGACUGGCAGCCUACGCCCAUGUGAAACUCCUUCGACGAGUCGAGUUGUUUGGGAAUGCAGCUCAAAAUGGGUGGUAAAUUUCAUCUAAAGCUAAAUAUUGGCCAGAGACCGAUAGCGCACAAGUAGAGUGAUCGAAAGAUGAAAAGCACUUUGGAAAGAGAGUUAAACAGUACGUGAAAUUGUUGAAAGGGAAGCGCUUGCAACCAGACUUGCGUGCGGCCGAUCAUCCGGUGUUCUCACCGGUGCACUCGGUCGUGCUCAGGCCAGCAUCGGUUUCGGCGGCUGGAUAAAGGCCAUGGGAAUGUAGCUCCUCUCGGGGAGUGUUAUAGCCCGUGGUGCAAUGCAGCCCGCUGGGACCGAGGACCGCGCUUCGGCUAGGAUGCUGGCGUAAUGGUUGUAAGCGACCCGUCUUGAAACACGGACCAAGGAGUCUAACAUCUAUGCGAGUGUUUGGGUGUCAAACCCAUACGCGGAAUGAAAGUGAACGGAGGUGAGAACCCUUAAGGGUGCAUCAUCGACCGAUCCUGAUGUCUUCGGAUGGAUUUGAGUAAGAGCAUAGCUGUUGGGACCCGAAAGAUGGUGAACUAUGCCUGAAUAGGGUGAAGCCAGAGGAA